This is a long non-coding RNA of Apis dorsata (giant honeybee), 319 nucleotides long. RefSeq lists it as uncharacterized. NCBI's taxonomy places the organism in Eukaryota, Metazoa, Arthropoda, Insecta, Hymenoptera, Apidae. The record is from RefSeq and is a predicted model, not a curated record. The transcript has 2 exons.
CGUGAUUAAAAGGGCGAAGAAACUGGAAAAGAAGGAAAAGAAGAGGAGGAGGAGGAGAAAAGGAAGAGAACUACUACUUGCCCAUGAGGUAAUUUCGUAUGGUCUUGACCCAGGAGGCGACUUGUCUCGGGUCUGUGUGGCUCAUGGUCACGCUGUGAUGGCUCCAUUUGUUCUUUGGCCCGUGCACAGCGUAGUGGAGAAUGAAAUUCGUCGGGCACACGGUAGGUGACGUGGGCGACGUUGUCAGUUGCUUCUCCUUAAAGUUUACCCCGUGUAUCCAAUCGUCACCGUAGCGAACGGCGAGCACGUCGGUCAUUGG